UACGGCAACAUCACGUUGAAACAUUGGUUCUUGUACGUUCACCGAAGUUAAGCAACGUCGUGCCUGGUCAGUAGCUAGAUGGGUGACCGCUUGGGAAUUCCAAGUUCUGUAA
Molecule: non-coding RNA, 112 nt
Organism: Acanthosepion pharaonis
Lineage: Eukaryota; Metazoa; Mollusca; Cephalopoda; Sepiida; Sepiidae
Source: the annotation of a GenBank genome assembly